RNAcentral lists this ribosomal RNA (497 nucleotides) under uncultured bacterium. RNAcentral's name for it is "partial 16S ribosomal RNA". It matches the Rfam family "Bacterial small subunit ribosomal RNA", at positions 28 to 507 of the family's 1533-position model. The record is from RNAcentral.
GAUGAACGCUGGCGGCGUGCCUAAUACAUGCAAGUCGAGCGAACGGACGAGAAGCUUGCUUCUCUGAUGUUAGCGGCGGACGGGUGAGUAAUACGUGGAUAACCUACCUAUAAGACUGGGAUAACUUCGGGAAACCUGAGCUAAUACCGGAUAAUAUUUUGAACGGCAUGGUUCAAAAGUGAACGACGUUCUUGCUGUCACUUAUAGAUGGAUCCGCGCUGCAUUAGCUAGUUGGUAAGGUAACGGCUUACCAAGGCAACGAUGCAUAGCCGACCUGAGAGGGUGAUCGGUCACACUGGAACUGAGACACGGUCCAGACUCCUACGGGAGGCAGCAGUAGGGAAUCUUCCGCAAUGGGCGAAAGCCUGACGGAGCAACGCCGCGUGAGUGAUGAAGGUCUUCGGAUCGUAAAACUCUGUUAUUAGGGAAGAACAUAUGUGUAAGUAACUGUGCACAUCUUGACGUUACCUAAACAGAAAGCCACGGCUAACUACGUG